GUGCCAGCCGCCGCGGUAAUACGUAGGUGGCAAGCGUUGUCCGGAAUUAUUGGGCGUAAAGCGCGCGUAGGCGGUUUCUUAAGUCUGAUGUGAAAGCCCACGGCUUAACUGUGGAGGGUCAUUGGAAACUGGGAGACUUGAGUGCAGAAGAGGAAAGUGGAAUUCCAAGGGUAGCGGUGAAAUGCGUAGAGAUUUGGAGGAACACCAGUGGGGAAGGCGAAUUUCUGGUCUGCAACUGACGCUGAGGCGGGA
Molecule: ribosomal RNA, 252 nt
Filed under: uncultured bacterium
Lineage: Bacteria
Description: partial 16S rRNA
Rfam family: Bacterial small subunit ribosomal RNA
Source: RNAcentral